RNAcentral lists this ribosomal RNA (474 nucleotides) under uncultured organism. RNAcentral's name for it is "partial 16S ribosomal RNA". It matches the Rfam family "Bacterial small subunit ribosomal RNA", at positions 334 to 799 of the family's 1533-position model. The record is from RNAcentral.
CACUCCUGCGGGAGGCAGCAGUGGGGAAUUUUGGACAAUGGGCGAAAGCCUGAUCCAGCAAUGCCGCGUGAGUGAAGAAGUCCUUCGGGUUGUAAAGCUCUUUUGUCAGGGAAGAAACGGUGAAAGCUAAUAUCUUUUGCUAAUGACGGUACCUGAAGAAUAAGCACCGGCUAACUACGUGCCAGCAGCCGCGGUAAUACGUAGGGUGCAAGCGUUAAUCGGAAUUACUGGGCGUAAAGCGUGCGCAGGCGGUUUUGUAAGUCUGAUGUGAAAUCCCCGGGCUCAACCUGGGAAUUGCAUUGGAGACUGCAAGGCUAGAAUCUGGCAGAGGGGGGUAGAAUUCCACGUGUAGCAGUGAAAUGCGUAGAUAUGUGGAGGAACACCGAUGGCGAAGGCAGCCCCCUGGGUCAAGAUUGACGCUCAUGCACGAAAGCGUGGGGAGCAAACAGGAUUAGAAACCCGAGUAGUCCCAUG